AAGCAACCCAGAGCCCUCCUCCCGCCUGCUCUGUGUAGGAGACAGCCUGCGGAGCCCACUGCCGGCGCGCAGAGAGCCCAGCAGCUCUUGAGUCCAGGAAGCAAGGGUGGGAGGAGGGACGAGCCAGUGGCAAUGACCCAGACCCGGACGACCCCCAUUGCUGAGCCAGCGGAGCUGCUUGGAGGCAGAGGUUGCAGUGAGCUGAGAUUUUGCGACUACACUCCAACCUGGGCAACAGAGCGGGACUCCAUUCCAAAAAAAUAAGAAAAACAGAAAAAUAAUAAUUACAUCUGCAAAGACCUUAUUUCCAGGCUCAAGCAGAGUCUUCCUCCUGGUGUUCCAGAAGGAGUUCAAGGUCCUGCUCCAUAUGGGACAGCUAGAUUCUGAGGGCAAUGUUGAGAUCCUCAUCUCCAGAAGGUGCUGGUGCCAGAAAUAUGACAAAAGGCUGAUUGACGGGCCAGGCGCGGGUCCACGAGGCUGGUGUCAGACCUAUUGGGAGACCCUCUGCGUUAGUGAGAAAAACGGCAAGAAAUGGGAGCACGCGGAAACCUCCAAGACUAGAGCCACCAGAUGCCACCGACAGCACGCAGCUGGACCAGCACGGGGGAGGGCCUUCGUGGGUCGAGAGCUCGCUCGGGAGAUAGUUGGUGCUUUUCUUUCAGGAGAAGAAUCCCUGGCGGAGUCUGACCGUUCUCUGGCGCACAGCCCCGGGGGUGGGCACAGCAGCCGCCCCUGCUGAAGGGACUGACGCCUCCGACGACCAGCAGCCAAGUUAAACGCACUGUUCCGUGAGCAGCUUUGUUGGAGACAGCGCGGUUCACAUUCUCUUCCAACGGAGCCGCUGACUGCGGAGCUGGGAGGGGACGUGACAGAACCCAGCCAUCCAACGUCCCCCCACCCCUCCCCAGCUGGGACCUCCGGCUGCUUCCGGGCUGCGCUGGGUGGCGUCAAGGAGCCGCCCCUCUGGGCCGCGUCCCUCCCUCACGCCCUGCACACUGGCCCUGUGUGGCCGGCGGGGCGCCUAAAAGGGCGGAAGGAUGCAGGGGCGGAGGGGGCUCGGGAUUGCACGCCUAGCUCAGACCCCCCAGCCAGGACCCCUCGCGCUGUUGGACACGCCAGCCUCCCGACCCUGCGGCUCCUACGGGAGGUGACAAGGACCCUGCCAACCUGGCCUGAAUGGCCCAGUUUGAUACAGAUCAGGUUUUCAAUGAAUGAGACCGCGGUGUGGUCUAGGCGGAGGGAUGAGAGGAGGGGAUUCUGCUGGGAUAAGUGGGGGCGGGGUAAGGAGGGGAUUCUUUUCCUGGGCUGAGGAGAACGCAGGGACAAAGUACACAGGGGUAGUUGAGUGAGCAGGUGAGGCCCUAGGCUGGUUCCCCACCUUCUCAGGAUCGGAGCCACUCACUUCCUGGUACUCUCUGCAGUCUCCUGGCGUUAAAUAACAUCCCUUUGCUGGAGACUCUGGAUUCACAUCCAUAAUCGCAGCCUCCCCUACUCAUCCCCUCACGCUUCCCAUGAACUAACCUUGAAGGACCCGACCAGAGCCCUGACCUCCGUCCCACACACCUGCUACAUGGAAGGUGUUCUCCACAUCAGUUCAAGGCAGUGUCACUCUUCAGGAUGUUCAGGCUCUAAACCUUGGACUCCUCCUCCAGAUUUCUCUCUCCUUCCUUCUCCUUGUCUCUCCCUUGCACUUACGGUUCACUUUUCCUUCGUAGCUUUGUAGCUCAUUCCCCCUUCCACUUUCCACACCACCUUCUGGUCUGUUAAUUAAAUAUUACCUGGUUUCCACUGACACCUUCCCUGGGUUCCCAAUUGAAAAUCACAACAUCAUCCUCCUCCUCUGCUUUUUUUCUCCAAAUUAUAUCCUCACCCAAUUAUGUGUUAUUCUCAUUAAUCUUGCUUAAUUAAUUAGCAGACAUUAUUAAUGCCUGUUUCCCCUAUCACCACCACUAGACUAUGAACUCCUAAGGACUCCUUCCUUCCACCACUGUUGUACUCGCUUCACCUAGAACUGCUUGGCACAUACAAUGUGCUCCAUAAAUAUUUGUUGAAUGAAAGACUAGACACAACUUAGGAUUCACUCCCCCAUGUGGCAUCCAUAAGCCCUGUAUGCAGGUAAAAUGUCAGUGGGUUGACUAAAUACUGGAAGUGGAAAAAACUUCACCUCUUUGGUUUGCAGUUGUCUAGGAUAUUUAGGCCAAUGGAAAAUCCAGUUUUCCUUAGAAUUAAGCCAGUGCCGCCAGACUUGCCAGUUUACCAUGCUUGUCUGACUGGUCCUCAGCAUGGGUCAUACGUGUCCAAUGAAUUCAAACAAAAUCUUGAGAAGACACGAACCUUGCCCUUCGGCUGGGCGCGGUGGCUCACGCCUGUAAUCCCAGCACUUUGGGAGGCCGAGGCAGGCGGAUCACGAGGUCAGGAGAUCGAGACCAUCCUGGCUAACAUGGUGAAACCCCGUCUCUACUAAAAAUACAAAAAAUUAGCCGAGCGUGGUGGCGGGCGCCUGUAGUCCCAGCUACUCAGGAGGCUGAGGCAGGAGAAUGGCGUGAACCCGGGAGGCGGAGCUUGCAGUGAGUGAGCCGAGAUCGCACCCCUGCACUCCAGCCUGGGCGACAGAGCGAGACUCCGUAAAAAAACAAAAAAAAAACCUUGCCCUUCAUUCCCCAUUUCUAUCAUAAUCUACACAGAGUUUUGAACAGGCAUUUUAAAAUCAACAAUAUAUUAUUUACAAUUUUGUUAGUAUACAUAACUCUAACUCACUGUUAAAAAUCACCUGUCUUUAUAUCCAUUAAAUGACACUUGCAUAUGCUCCAA
Molecule: long non-coding RNA, 2811 nt
Filed under: Homo sapiens (human)
Lineage: Eukaryota; Metazoa; Chordata; Mammalia; Primates; Hominidae
Description: KHDC1 antisense RNA 1, transcript variant 28 (KHDC1-AS1)
Source: RNAcentral